This 468-nucleotide ribosomal RNA is filed under the name uncultured bacterium. Its description in RNAcentral is "partial 16S ribosomal RNA". It matches the Rfam family "Bacterial small subunit ribosomal RNA", at positions 28 to 507 of the family's 1533-position model. The record is from RNAcentral.
GACGAACGCUGGCGGCGUGCUUAACACAUGCAAGUCGAACGGAAAGGCCCUGCUUUUGUGGGGUGCUCGAGUGGCGAACGGGUGAGUAACACGUGAGUAACCUGCCCUUGACUUUGGGAUAACUUCAGGAAACUGGGGCUAAUACCGGAUAGGAGCUCCUGCUGCAUGGUGGGGGUUGGAAAGUUUCGGCGGUUGGGGAUGGACUCGCGGCUUAUCAGCUUGUUGGUGGGGUAGUGGCUUACCAAGGCUUUGACGGGUAGCCGGCCUGAGAGGGUGACCGGCCACCUUGGGACUGAGGUACGGCCCAGACUCCUACGGGAGGCAGCAGUGGGGAAUAUUGCACAAUGGGCGGAAGCCUGAUGCAGCAACGCCGCGUGCGGGAUGACGGCCUUCGGGUUGUAAACCGCUUUCGCCUGUGACGAAGAGUGAGUGACGGUAAUGGGUAAAGAAGCACCGGCUAACUACGUG